RNAcentral lists this ribosomal RNA (753 nucleotides) under uncultured bacterium. Its description in RNAcentral is "bacterial SSU rRNA". It matches the Rfam family "Bacterial small subunit ribosomal RNA", at positions 194 to 925 of the family's 1533-position model. The record is from RNAcentral.
UGUAUAAGAAAAGGUGGCCUCUGAAGAUGCUACCGAUUAUGGAUGGACCCGCGUCUGAUUAGCUAGUUGGUGGGGUAAAGGCCUACCAAGGCGACGAUCAGUAGCCGGCCUGAGAGGGUGAACGGCCACACUGGGACUGAGACACGGCCCAGACUCCUACGGGAGGCAGCAGUGGGGAGUAUUGCGCAAUGGACGAAAGUCUGACGGAGCAACGCCGCGUGUAUGAUGAAGGUCUUCGGAUUGUAAAGUACUGUCUUUGGGGAAGAACGGUGGGUUUGAGAAUAUUGAGUCCACAUGACGGUACCCAAGGAGGAAGCCCCGGCUAACUACGUGCCAGCAGCCGCGGUAAUACGUAGGGGGCAAGCGUUGUCCGGAAUUAUUGGGCGUAAAGGGCGCGUAGGCGGAUGCUUAAGUCCGGUGUGAAAGAUCAGGGCUCAACCCUGAGAGUGCAUCGGAAACUGGGUAUCUUGAGGACAGGAGAGGAAAGUGGAAUUCCACGUGUAGCGGUGAAAUGCGUAGAUAUGUGGAGGAACACCAGUGGCGAAGGCGACUUUCUGGACUGUAACUGGCGCUGAGGCGCGAAAGCGUGGGGAGCAAACAGGAUUAGAUACCCUGGUAGUCCACGCCGUAAACGAUGAGUGCUAGGUGUAGAGGGUAUCGACCCCUUCUGUGCCGCAGUUAACACAAUAAGCACUCCGCCUGGGGAGUACGGCCGCAAGGUUGAUAACUCAAAGGAAUUGACGGAAUCGAAUU